UACGUAGGAGGCAAACGUUGUUCGGAUUUACUGGGCGUAAAGGGUGAGUAGGCGGAGCUAUAAGUCUGAUGUGAAAGCCCGGGGCUUAACCCCGGUCCCGCAUUGGAUACUGUAGUUCUCGAGUAAAGUAGAGGAUGACGGAAUUCCAGGUGUAAGGGUGGAAUCUGUAGAUAUCUGGAAGAACACCGAUGGCGAAGGCAGUCAUCUGGGCUUUUACUGACGCUGAAUCACGAAAGCUAGGGGAGCGAACAGG
This 253-nucleotide ribosomal RNA is filed under the name uncultured bacterium. RNAcentral's name for it is "partial 16S ribosomal RNA". It matches the Rfam family "Bacterial small subunit ribosomal RNA", at positions 524 to 776 of the family's 1533-position model. The record is from RNAcentral.